RNAcentral lists this ribosomal RNA (253 nucleotides) under uncultured bacterium. RNAcentral describes it as "partial 16S ribosomal RNA". It matches the Rfam family "Bacterial small subunit ribosomal RNA", at positions 524 to 776 of the family's 1533-position model. The record is from RNAcentral.
UACAGAGGGCUCAAGCGUUGUUCGGAUUCAUUGGGCGUAAAGGGCGCGUAGGCGGCGCGGUAAGUCGGGUGUGAAAUCUCGGAGCUUAACUCCGAAACUGCAUUCGAUACUGCCGUGCUUGAGGACUGGAGAGGAGACUGGAAUUUACGGUGUAGCGGUGAAAUGCGUAGAUAUCGUAAGGAAGACCAGUGGCGAAGGCGGGUCUCUGGACAGUUCCUGACACUGAGGCACGAAGGCCAGGGGAGCAAACGGG